AAAUGCCGAGAUGUUUUAAAAGUUAAAAUUUUGACAAUUCCCUUUUGAAGUAGGAGGAGAUCUUUAGCAAAUAGCAACUAAUAUGCUAUUGGUUACUUGUGACAGAUCAAAAGCCUUCAUGAGUGGAUGCUUACUGUUCUUUUCUUCGGGGGUUUGAUUUUCAGAUAAUUAUUUCAUAUUUUUAGCAGGUUUUGGUCGGCUGCUUUCUUGUCCGUUUCUUGUAUUUUCCCUCUCCAUACUUUCUUUAAAAAGGAGAAAGCAUCUGUUUUGCGAUUCAUGUAGCUUAUAUGUCGAUAUCAAUGCCUAAGAUGACAGGAAUGAUUGGCAUUCUCCACAAAUUGGCAUCUUAUCUAUAAUGGAAUAACUAUAUUGAACAUUUAUGUAUAAUCCGAUCGACGAUCACAUUAAACGAAUUAAAAAUUCAGAAACGACAUGAUAAAAUUUCAGAUACCAUUUGUAUUAGUUUUUUUUUCUUCGUUCGAGAAAGUAUUAGUCAUGAUGGACGGACCGGACCAUCUCGGCAAAUCGUGAUGUACGGGAUUGACCCAAUCCAACAGCGACCGGUCGAGCCCCGCGUCCCAGUCGUGGCGGUGACGCGUUGUCCAAGUCGCGUGGGGGGGACGAAAUACUCCUCCCUUUGAUCAGGUCAAAUUUGCGGACACAUGGGAGAUGGGGCCUCCCCCGCAAUGACUCAGUCGGUACCUUCUCCGACGACGGAUCCCCCCGCCGUGCCCGAUGCACACGUGGACGGCCGGGAUUGGCUGGGGGGCGGGGCCAUGCAUGCGGGUCGCCUCCUCCGCGGGUACCACUGGGGGCAAAGAAAAAGGGGAGGAUCCGGAAGUUGUACCUGCUUUUCUUUAAAUUUUCUUUGUAUCGAAGUUGUUAGCUUUCAUAAUCACGCUUUGAGCUCGAUUUUCACGCUCUAACCUCGUGGAACAGUGCGAGUGCUCCCUCUCUCUCUCUCUCUCUAGGACCAGUGGAAGCGCAAGUUGUCUUCUUGUUUCGAUCCUUAUCUCCUCGCAUGCUCGAGAUCACUCAUUGCGUUGUGGGUUUUGUAAGAAUUCUUCCACCGCGUUUCGUCUUCUUGUUCUUGUUCUCUGUUUCAUUGGUCUCCUCAGCGAAGAUUCGGGGAAGCGAUUUCCCUCUCGCGUUUCGGUGUUGUUCGGCGUGAUUUGAUGGCCAUUUUCCCGUCUGGUUCUUCCAGGAAGCGCUCUCUUUUGUAGCUUCUUACAAUGGGUGACUCGUUUCUUUUCCGCUCGUUGAAUCGGACUGGGUUUUGUUCUCUUCAGUUUAGGGCUAGGGUUUGGUAGUUUUGUGAUCUGGAGAUCGUUAAGAGUUUGCUUUCGCGGACGCAUUUCAUUUUCUGUGUGGUUGUCCUUGUUUUGUUUCGGGGAAGUUUUGUGUUCGGAUUAAGUUUGUUGCUCCUCAUUGAGGGAGAGGGAUUUUACUUUUCCCUGAGUUCAUUUGAGUUUAGUUGAACUUACUCAUGCUUUACUGAAUUCACAUGCUCACUGCCCUAGCUGGCACGAGUACCUAUUUAUUUUUGAAAUAUACUCCCUUUUGGAUCUUUAGGCUCGCUGGCUUUCGGUGUAGUCUCACGGGUUUUGGAUAAUUUUCUUUGUUUAAAGGGUGUGGUUCCUACGCUGUUGCUCCCCAUGUUGUUCUCACUAGAUGCGGAUGCGUCAUGAUUAAGUCAUAAAUGCCACUUAGGUUUUGGUUUUGUAGUCUAUUCUUCUGAUGAUAAUUUAUGGGCAUGCAAUAUGUUCUUUCCUUUCCUUUUGAUUAUUUCUUUUGAAGAUCUUGAGUUGCGAGAUUUCAGUGCUGUUUUUGCUCUUUUUACUCACGUCUGUGCUGAUUCCUUGGAAAAAUAUGCCUAGUAAGAUUCAACCUUCGAAGCUGUCCGUCUCUUGUUGUGUUUAAAAGUGAGUAUGGGGACAUUUUUCCUGGCUUAGAGCAAUCUGUGCUUCUGGAGAUUUUAGUUGAGACCCUUUUUUAAAUAAGGCAAACAAAUUUCAAUGGCUAUGUCAUGUUUAAAUGUUCUGAAAUAUUGCUUAUAUCCUUCUAAUUUGAGUUAAGGAAUACUAUAACAAUAAUCCAAGACAGUACUCUUGUUGGUGAGGAUUGGAUUGGCUAUUGAAUUUCAGUCAUGUAAUGUGCAAUGCUCCAUAGAUUAUGGUCAAAGAUUUAUACAGGCAUGCCAUUAGUAGAAUUCGCCUCUGAGCUUUUCUUUUUGCAGAUUUGGGCCUCUAGGUGAUAUCGUUGCUUGACAACGAGAGAGAGCACGCUAGUUAGCAUCCAUAAAAGGGACAUGGCUGUGUACAAGCGUGCUCUCUAUCGUUGUCAUACAAUAUGCAUUUGAGGCUUUGUUCCCAAUCUGUGACAUAAGCGGAUGGUAACCUUGAAUUAUUUGUCUCAAGUGUAAUAUUUUAAUGCAUGACAUUGAUGAGUUGUGAAGGCUUGUGUCAUGCAUAUAUGAUGCAAGUGGGUUGAGUCUCCUUUUACACAUAGCUUGGAGGUUCCUGUUGAUGCCUUGUGUAGCUCUCGUUUUUCUGCUGGCCGGUGUUUUGGCCUUUGUCUUUGUAUAGCGCACUUGUUGCUUCCUUGCUUUGCUUAGCCGCAACACCUUUGCACCCAUCAGGACACACUUAUGUGUCACCUUAGGUACAAGGUUUUUGUGUUCGGCUACUCUCUCUAUAUGUUGCUCUCUUUGUAUGUUGCGCGUUGAAAAGUUAAUAUACUUCUUACCUUACUAUAUAAAAAAAAAUUGAAUAUAGGUUAUUGCGGUUGAAUUAUAAAUAAAGUAUUGCACUUGACUUAUAUGUAUAUAUUUUUGUUUGACAUGAACCACAACUCUCUUGGUGUCUUUUUUCUCACAUGCGAUGCUCCUUUUAACUGUGACCGUAGGGGCUGUCUAGCUCGAGAAGUGUUUUUAGUUCCCAAUUCCAUAGGAAAUGAAAUGAAAACAAUUUUCCGCUUCCAUUUCCAAAUUUUUUUAAAAGAUGUUAGGUAAGCCAAAAUGAGAAUUCUUGGUGGAAAGCACAAUUUUGAAAAUAUCUUUUGUGCUUCACUAAGAUAGUUUUUUUUUUCCUAUUUUGACCAAAAGGUUAAGUUUUUUUUUGUCAUAUAUAGAAUUCGAGAAAGUUUUAGAGAAGGUUCAUGUUCUUUACCAAUUCUCUGUGUGAGUAAAGUUUCUGGAGCUCACUUUUUUCCUCUCCUCAACACCAUUAAGCUUUUCAUUGUAGCUCUGGGAGGGGGGUUGAGGUGCUGCCUUCUCUCAAGCUAUCUGGAAGAUCCCUUGUUUUAUGCUUGGAUCCAUUCUUUGAAGAAGACAUUAUGAAAAGAAUGUCUUUCAGUCCAUGAUACUGUGUUCUCAUUUUGGACCUGGAAACACCAAAGUGUUUUCAGUCCAUGAUACUGUUUUCACUUUUGUGCCUAAUAGUCGAUAACAAGCUGACCGUGUUUCCAUUCGAAAAAUUUUCCGUGAUCCCGCCAAACAAAGUUGCUAGUGGCCUUUUCAUUCUCAGUGAAAUGAAAGUGUAGCUUCGAAAUUGCCUAUCAAGCAAACAAUCCCUGAAAUCCUGCCAUUUUCUUUUCUUUUCUUUUAUAGUUUUCUUUUGCUAGGAAUGGUGAGUCAUAGUUGUGAGUAGAAUCCUAGAACAUUUUUAUGCCAGAAGUGUAGUUCUACUUUUUGGGGGCCUUUUUUGGUCCACUCCAUGUAACUAUAUCUUGUAGAGAAUGAAAUUGUACUAUACGUAAAAAAUGUAAAGCUCAUGCAUUGAAGCAAAAUACUUCUUUCUACAAUAAAGACUGUGGUAUUUUUAGUUUUUA
This is a long non-coding RNA of Syzygium oleosum, 3828 nucleotides long. RefSeq lists it as uncharacterized. The transcript has 2 exons. The record is from RefSeq and is a predicted model, not a curated record. NCBI's taxonomy places the organism in Eukaryota, Viridiplantae, Streptophyta, Magnoliopsida, Myrtales, Myrtaceae.